GCCUUACAGCUAGCCCGUUAGAAAUAAAAGCAACACACCACUUAAAUAACCCCUAAAAUACUUAACACCUGAUAAACAAACCAUUUUACCCCCCUAGUAUGGGCGACAGAAAAGGGCACAGGAGCGAUAGAGAAAGUACCGCAAGGGAAAGCUGAAAGAGAAGUGAAAUAAAUCAGUUUAAGCCCAGCAAAGCAGAGAUUAAGACUUGUACCUUUUGCAUCAUGAUUUAGCUAGUAUAAAUCAAGCGAAGGGAACUUUAGUUUGAAACCCCGAAACCAAGUGAGCUACUCCGAGACAGCCUGACAAUAGGGCGAACCCGUCUCUGUCGCAAAAGAGUGGGAUGAGCUCCGAGUAGCAGUGAUAAGCCUACCGAACUUGGUUAUAGCUGGUUGCCCGGGAAAUGAAUAGCAGUUCAGCCCCACGGCUUCUCCUUUCAAUGCUGACUACUUCCACUGAUAGCUGAAGAAUACCGCGGGAGUUAGUCAAAGGGGGUACAGCCCCUUUGACAUAGGACACAACCUUCCCAGGAGGGUAAAGAUCAUAAUUAGUACAAGGUCUUAUGUUCUGGUGGGCUUGAAAGCAGCCACCCUAUUAGAAAGCGUUAAACCUCAGACAUAAAGUACACCUAUUAUUCGGAUAAUCUUAUCUCAGCCCCCUAAUCUUACCGGACCUAUCCAUACCAAUAUGGAAGUGACUAUGCUAAUAUGAGUAAUAAGAGAGCCAAGCCUCUCUCCUUGCACGAGUGUAAAUCGGAACGAACCCGCACCGAGUCUUAACGGCCCCAAAAGAAGAGGGUAAUGGGCCACAAAUAGAUAACAAGAAAAGUACCCAACCGCAAUAAACCGUUAACCCCACACUGGUGUGCCUCCAAGGAAAGACUAAAAGAAAAAGAAGGAACUCGGCAAACAUAAUUAAAGCCUCGCCUGUUUACCAAAAACAUCGCCUCUUGCAAAAUCAAAGUAUAAGAGGUCCCGCCUGCCCUGUGACUAUAUGUUUAACGGCCGCGGUAUUUUGACCGUGCGAAGGUAGCGCAAUCACUUGUCUUUUAAAUGGAGACCUGUAUGAAUGGCAUAACGAGGGCUUAACUGUCUCCUUUUUCAGGUCAAUGAAAUUGAUCUCCCCGUGCAGAAGCGGGGAUAAAGACAUAAGACGAGAAGACCCUGUGGAGCUUUAGACACUAAGGCAGACCAUGUUAAUAACCCCUAGACAAAGGCUAAAACAAGAUGACCCCUGCCCGCAUGUUUUUGGUUGGGGCGACCGUGGGGGAAAAAAUAACCCCCAUGCGGACCGGGAGGACUUCUCCUAGAAGCAAGAACCACAGUUCUAACUAACAGAACUUCUGACCUAUAAGAUCCGGCUGACGCCGAUCAACGGACCGAGUUACCCCAGGGAUAACAGCGCAAUCCCCUUUGAGAGCCCCCAUCGAUAAGAGGGUUUACGACCUCGAUGUUGGAUCAGGACAUCCUGAUGGUGCAGCCGCUAUUAAGGGUUCGUUUGUUCAACGAUUAAAGUCCUACGUGAUCUGAGUUCAGACCGGAGUAAUCCAGGUCAGUUUCUAUCUAUGAAGCGACCUUUUCUAGUACGAAAGGACCGAAAAGAGGAGGCCAAUGCUUUAAACAAGCCUCUCCCUGAUUCACUGUAGACAACUAAAAUGAGUAAUAGGGCGCCCGUUGUUUAGCCGGAGAAAACGGCUU
RNAcentral lists this ribosomal RNA (1694 nucleotides) under Mullus surmuletus (striped red mullet). RNAcentral describes it as "16S ribosomal RNA". It matches the Rfam family "Bacterial large subunit ribosomal RNA". Lineage: Eukaryota; Metazoa; Chordata; Actinopteri; Syngnathiformes; Mullidae. The record is from RNAcentral.